RNAcentral lists this ribosomal RNA (497 nucleotides) under uncultured bacterium. RNAcentral's name for it is "partial 16S ribosomal RNA". It matches the Rfam family "Bacterial small subunit ribosomal RNA", at positions 28 to 507 of the family's 1533-position model. The record is from RNAcentral.
GACGAACGCUGGCGGCGUGCCUAAUACAUGCAAGUAGAACGCUGAAGAGAGGAGCUUACUCUUCUUGGAUGAGAUGCGAACGGGUGAGUAACGCGUAGGUAACCUGCCUUGUAGCGGGGGAUAACUAUUGGAAACGAUAGCUAAUACCGCAUAACAAUGGAUGACACAUGUCAUUUAUUUGAAAGGGGCAAUUGCUCCACUACAAGAUGGACCUGCGUUGUAUUAGCUAGUAGGUGAGGUAAUGGCUCACCUAGGCGACGAUACAUAGCCGACCUGAGAGGGUGAUCGGCCACACUGGGACUGAGACACGGCCCAGACUCCUACGGGAGGCAGCAGUAGGGAAUCUUCGGCAAUGGGGGCAACCCUGACCGAGCAACGCCGCGUGAGUGAAGAAGGUUUUCGGAUCGUAAAGCUCUGUUGUAAGUCAAGAACGGGUGUGAGAGUGGAAAGUUCACACUGUGACGGUAGCUUACCAGAAAGGGACGGCUAGCUACGUG